GAUGAACGCUGGCGGCGUGCCUAAUACAUGCAAGUCGAGCGAACGGACGAGAAGCUUGCUUCUCUAAUGUUAGCGGCGGACGGGUGAGUAACACGUGGAUAACCUACCUAUAAGACUGGGAUAACUUCGGGAAACCGUAGCUAGUACCGGAUAAUAUUUUGAACCGCAUGGUUCAAAAGUGAAAGACGGUCUUGCUGUCACUUAUAGAUGGAUCCGCGCUGCAUUAGCUAGUUGGUAAGGUAACGGCUUACCAAGGCAACGAUGCAUAGCCGACCUGAGAGGGUGAUCGGCCACACUGGAACUGAGACACGGUCCAGACUCCUACGGGAGGCAGCAGUAGGGAAUCUUCCGCAAUGGGCGAAAGCCUGACGGAGCAACGCCGCGUGAGUGAUGAAGGUCUUCGGAUCGUAAAACUCUGUUAUUAGGGAAGAACAUAUGUGUAAGUAACUGUGCACAUCUUGACGGUACCUAAUCAGAAAGCCACGGCUAACUACGUG
This 497-nucleotide ribosomal RNA is filed under the name uncultured bacterium. RNAcentral's name for it is "partial 16S ribosomal RNA". It matches the Rfam family "Bacterial small subunit ribosomal RNA", at positions 28 to 507 of the family's 1533-position model. The record is from RNAcentral.